This is an unclassified non-coding RNA of Urocitellus parryii (Arctic ground squirrel), 109 nucleotides long. Its record names the gene 7SK. It matches the Rfam family "7SK RNA". From Rfam's summary of the family: 7SK was discovered as an abundant small nuclear RNA in the mid-70s but a possible function has only recently been suggested. The record is from Ensembl. Lineage: Eukaryota; Metazoa; Chordata; Mammalia; Rodentia; Sciuridae.
GGAUAUGAGGACGAUCUGGCUGUGACAUCUGUCACAUUAGCGAUUGCCAGGGUUGAUUUGGCUCCCAUGGCUGGCGAGGCAGCUGUCCUGCUUGCUACCUCGCCACUCC